Long non-coding RNA from Pipistrellus kuhlii (Kuhl's pipistrelle), 121 nucleotides. RefSeq lists it as uncharacterized. Lineage: Eukaryota; Metazoa; Chordata; Mammalia; Chiroptera; Vespertilionidae. The record is from RefSeq and is a predicted model, not a curated record. The transcript has 3 exons.
ACCUGAAAUCCACCGCAAGUUGUAGUUCCUCGUUCUAAUAGUACUUUUUAAAUAAUCACUUAGAGUGUAAGUCCUGCGAGUAUCAGCAUCAUCUAAAAUAUUAUCUCUGCUCAGCCAGAAG